GACGAACCGUGCGAACGUUGUUCGGAAUCACUGGGCUUAAAGGGCGCGUAGGCGGCUCGCCAAGUCAGGGGUGAAAUCUUUCGGCUCAACCGGAAAAGUGCCUUUGAUACUGGCGGGCUCGAGCGAGGUAGGGGCAUGUGGAACUUCCGGUGGAGCGGUGAAAUGUGUUGAUAUCGGAAGGAACACCGGUGGCGAAAGCGACGUGCUGGACCUCUUCUGACGCUGAGGCGCGAAAGCUAGGGUAGCGAACGGG
RNAcentral lists this ribosomal RNA (253 nucleotides) under uncultured bacterium. RNAcentral's name for it is "partial 16S ribosomal RNA". It matches the Rfam family "Bacterial small subunit ribosomal RNA", at positions 524 to 776 of the family's 1533-position model. The record is from RNAcentral.